This 482-nucleotide ribosomal RNA is filed under the name uncultured bacterium. RNAcentral describes it as "bacterial SSU rRNA". It matches the Rfam family "Bacterial small subunit ribosomal RNA", at positions 791 to 1266 of the family's 1533-position model. The record is from RNAcentral.
UAGUCCACGCCGUAAACGAUGUCUACUAGCCGUUGGGAGGAUUUACCUCUUAGUGGCGCAGCUAACGCCUUAAGUAGACCGCCUGGGGAGUACGGCCGCAAGGCUAAAACUCAAAGAAAUUGACGGGGGCCCGCACAAGCGGUGGAGCAUGUGGUUUAAUUCGAUGCAACGCGAAGAACCUUACCUACCCUUGACAUCAUCAGAACUUGUUAGAGAUAACUCGGUGCCUUCGGGAACUGAUAGACAGGUGCUGCAUGGCUGUCGUCAACUCGUGUCGUGAGAUGUUGGGUUAAGUCCCGUAACGAGCGCAACCCUUGUCCUUAGUUGCCAGCACGUAAUGGUGGGGACUCUAGGGAGACUGCCGGUGACAAACCGGAGGAAGGUGGGGAUGGACGUCAAGUCAUCAUGGGCCCUUAUGGGGUAGGGGCUACACACGUGCUACAAUGGUUGGGUACAGAGGGGCCGCAAACUCGCGAGAGUAA